RNAcentral lists this ribosomal RNA (1486 nucleotides) under Methanohalophilus euhalobius. RNAcentral's name for it is "bacterial SSU rRNA". It matches the Rfam family "Archaeal small subunit ribosomal RNA". RNAcentral also lists the same sequence under 1 other name. The record is from RNAcentral. Lineage: Archaea; Methanobacteriati; Methanobacteriota; Methanomicrobia; Methanosarcinales; Methanosarcinaceae.
AUAAUUCUGGUUGAUCCUGCCAGAGGUUACUGCUAUCGGUGUUCGACUAAGCCAUGCUAGUUAAAUGUUCUUCGUGAACAUAGCGGACUGCUCAGUAACACGUGGACAAUCUGCCCUUGGGUUCAGCAUAACCCCGGGAAACUGGGGAUAAUUCUGAAUAGAUCACAUAUGCUGGAAUGCUUUGUGAUUAAAAGAUCCGUCGCCCAAGGAUGGGUCUGCGGCCUAUCAGGUUGUAGUGGGUCUAGAGUACCUACUAGCCAACGACGGGUACGGGUUGUGAGAGCAAGAGCCCGGAGAUGGAUUCUGAGACAUUAAUCCAGGCCCUACGGGGCGCAGCAGGCGCGAAACCUUUACACUGCGGGAAACCGCGAUAAGGGGACACCGAGUGCCAGCAUACAAUGCUGGCUGUCCACAUGUGUAAAUAGCAUGUGAUAGCAAGGGCCGGGCAAGACCGGUGCCAGCCGCCGCGGUAACACCGGCGGCCCGAGUGGUAAUCACUAUUAUUGGGUCUAAAGGGUCCGUAGCCGGUUUAAUCAGUCUUCCGGGAAAUCUGACAGCUCAACUGUUAGGCUACCGGGGGAUACUGUUAGACUUGGGACCGGGAGAGGUAAGAGGUACUACAGGGGUAGGAGUGAAAUCUUGUAAUCCCUGUGGGACCACCAGUGGCGAAGGCGUCUUACCAGAACGGGUCCGACGGUGAGGGACGAAAGCUGGGGGCACGAACCGGAUUAGAUACCCGGGUAGUCCCAGCCGUAAACGAUGCUCGCUAGGUGUCUGGAAUGGUGCGACCGUUUCAGGUGCCGCAGGGAAGCCGUGAAGCGAGCCACCUGGGAAGUACGGCCGCAAGGCUGAAACUUAAAGGAAUUGGCGGGGGAGCACUACAACGGGUGGAGCCUGCGGUUUAAUUGGACUCAACGCCGGACAACUCACCGGGGGCGACAGCAAUAUGUAGGUCAAGCUAAAGACUUUACCUGAAUCGCUGAGAGGAGGUGCAUGGCCGUCGUCAGUUCGUACUGUGAAGCAUCCUGUUAAGUCAGGCAACGAGCGAGACCCGUGCCCACUGUUGCCAGCAUAUCCUUUUUGGAUGAUGGGUACUCUGUGGGGACCGCCGAUGCUAAAUCGGAGGAAGGUGCGGGCUACGGUAGGUCAGUAUGCCCCGAAUCUCCCGGGCUACACGCGGGCUACAAUGGUUGGGACAAUGGGCUCCUACACUGAAAAGUGACGGUAAUCUCAUAAACCCAGCCGUAGUUCGAAUUGAGGGCUGAAACCCGCCCUCAUGAAGCUGGAAUCCGUAGUAAUCGCGUUUCAAUAUAGCGCGGUGAAUACGUCCCUGCUCCUUGCACACACCGCCCGUCAAACCACCCGAGUGAGGUAUGGGUGAGGGCGCGGACUUUAGUGCUGCGUUCGAACCUAAAUUUCGCAAGGGGGGUUAAGUCGUAACAAGGUAGCCGUAGGGGAAUCUGCGGCUGGAUCACCUCCUAAGCAA